AUGCACGCUGGCGGCGUGCCUAAUCCAUGCAAGUCGCGCGAACGGACGAGAAGCUUGCUUCUCUGAUGUUAGCGGCGGACGGGUGAGUAACACGUGGAUAACCUACCUAUAAGACUGGGAUAACUUCGGGAAACCGGAGCUAAUACCGGAUGAUAUUUUGAACCGCAUGGUUCAAAAGUGAAAGACGGUCUUGCUGUCACUUAUAGAUGGAUCCGCGCUGCAUUAGCUAGUUGGUAAGGUAACGGCUUACCAAGGCAACGAUGCAUAGCCGACCUGAGAGGGUGAUCGGCCACACUGGAACUGAGACACGGUCCAGACUCCUACGGGAGGCAGCAGUAGGGAAUCUUCCGCAAUGGGCGAAAGCCUGACGGAGCAACGCCGCGUGAGUGAUGAAGGUCUUCGGAUCGUAAAACUCUGUUAUUAGGGAAGAACAUAUGUGUAAGUAACUGUGCACAUCUUGACGGUACCUAAUCAGAAAGCCACGGCUAACUACGU
Molecule: ribosomal RNA, 495 nt
Filed under: uncultured bacterium
Lineage: Bacteria
Description: partial 16S ribosomal RNA
Rfam family: Bacterial small subunit ribosomal RNA
Source: RNAcentral